RNAcentral lists this ribosomal RNA (253 nucleotides) under uncultured bacterium. Its description in RNAcentral is "partial 16S ribosomal RNA". It matches the Rfam family "Bacterial small subunit ribosomal RNA", at positions 524 to 776 of the family's 1533-position model. The record is from RNAcentral.
UACGUAGGGGGCCAGCGUUGUCCGAAGUUACUGGGCGUAAAGAGCGCGUAGGCGGGUCUUUAAGUGAGGGGUGAAAGGUUCGGGCUCAACCCGGACACUGCCUUUCAUACUGGGGACCUUGAGUGCGGGAGGGGCGAGUGGAAUGGUCGGUGUAGCGGUGAAAUGCGUAGAUAUCGAUCGGAACACCCAUGGCGAAGGCAGCUCGCUGGCCUGCAACUGACGCUGAGGCGCGAAAGCGUGGGGAGCGAACAGG